RNAcentral lists this ribosomal RNA (255 nucleotides) under uncultured Glomus. RNAcentral's name for it is "partial 18S ribosomal RNA". It matches the Rfam family "Eukaryotic small subunit ribosomal RNA", at positions 624 to 886 of the family's 1831-position model. The record is from RNAcentral. Lineage: Eukaryota; Fungi; Glomeromycota; Glomeromycetes; Glomerales; Glomeraceae.
AAGCUCGUAGUUGAAUUUCGGGAUCAAUACGUCGGUCGUGCUUCGGUACGUACUGGCGUCAUCGAUUUCUCCCUUCUGACGAACCAUGAUGUCAUUAACUUGGUGUCAUGGGAAGUCAGGACUGUUACUUUGAAAAAAUUGAGUGUUUAAAGCAGGCUCACGCUUGAAUACAUUAGCAUGGAAUAAUGAAAUAGGACGUUCGAUCCUAUUUUGUUGGUUUUAGGAUCAACGUAAUGAUUAAUAGGGAUAGUUGGG